RNAcentral lists this ribosomal RNA (854 nucleotides) under uncultured bacterium. RNAcentral describes it as "bacterial SSU rRNA". It matches the Rfam family "Bacterial small subunit ribosomal RNA", at positions 1 to 848 of the family's 1533-position model. The record is from RNAcentral.
UAGAGUUUGAUCCUGGCUCAGAACGAACGCUGGCGGCGUGCCUAACACAUGCAAGUCGAACGGUAACAGGGCUAGCUUGCUAGCCGCUGACGAGUGGCGCACGGGUGAGUAACGCGUGGUUACCUGCCCAUCAGUGGGGGACAACUCCGGGAAACCGGAGCUAAUACCGCAUACGACCUUCGGGUGAAAGCGGGGGAUUCUUUUAGAACCUCGCGCUGAUGGAUGGAACCGCGUCCGAUUAGCUAGUUGGUAGGGUAACGGCCUACCAAGGCGAUGAUCGGUAGCUGGUCUGAGAGGAUGAUCAGCCACACUGGGACUGAGACACGGCCCAGACUCCUACGGGAGGCAGCAGCGGGGAAUAUUGCACAAUGGGCGAAAGCCUGAUGCAGCGACGCCGCGUGCGGGAAGAAGGCCUUCGGGUUGUAAACCGCUUUCAGCAGGGAAGAAGGAAUGAGGGCCAAUACCCCUCUGCCUUGACGGUACCUGCAGAAGAAGCUCCGGCUAAUUUCGUGCCAGCAGCCGCGGUAAUACGAAAGGGGCAAGCGUUGUUCGGAUUUACUGGGCGUAAAGAGAUCGUAGGUGGUUUAUCAAGUCGGAUGUGAAAUCCCGGGGCUCAACCCCGGAACUGCAUUCGAUACUGGUAGACUUGAGUUCGGGAGGGGGAUGCGGAAUUCCGCGUGUAGCAGUGAAAUGCGUAGAUAUGCGGAGGAACACCAGAGGCGAAGGCGGCAUCCUGGACCGAUACUGACACUGAGGAUCGAAAGCGUGGGUAGCAAACAGGAUUAGAUACCCUGGUAGUCCACGCCCUAAACGAUGACAACUAGCCGUUGCGGGUAUCGACCCCUACAGUGGCA